RNAcentral lists this ribosomal RNA (253 nucleotides) under uncultured bacterium. RNAcentral's name for it is "partial 16S ribosomal RNA". It matches the Rfam family "Bacterial small subunit ribosomal RNA", at positions 524 to 776 of the family's 1533-position model. The record is from RNAcentral.
UACGUAUGGUGCAAGCGUUAUCCGGAUUUACUGGGCGUAAAGGGAGCGCAGGCGGCGCGCCAAGUCUGAUGUGAAACCCCGGGGCUCAACCCCGGGCAUGCAUUGGAAACUGGCGGGCUGGAGUGCCGGAGAGGUAAGCGGGAUUCCUAGUGUAGCGGUGAGAUGCGUAGAUAUUAGGAGGAACACCAGUGGCGAAGGCGGCUUACUGGACGGCAACUGACGCUGAGGCUCGAAAGCGUGGGGAGCAAACAGG